Molecule: small RNA, 86 nt
Filed under: Lacinutrix venerupis
Lineage: Bacteria; Pseudomonadati; Bacteroidota; Flavobacteriia; Flavobacteriales; Flavobacteriaceae
Description: Flavo-1 RNA
Source: RNAcentral
GACUAUGCGUUAGCGAUUGAACGGUUUGUUUAAGCUCCUUUUUGUUGUUUUUACAAAAAGAGCGAGUAGUGAAAGCGCGACCUUUA